The sequence is a ribosomal RNA, 544 nucleotides long. It matches the Rfam family "Bacterial small subunit ribosomal RNA", at positions 14 to 541 of the family's 1533-position model.
UGAUCAUGGCUCAGGACGAACGCUGGCGGCGUGCCUAAUACAUGCAAGUCGAGCGGACAGAAGGGAGCUUGCUCCCGGAAGUCAGCGGCGGACGGGUGAGUAACACGUAGGUAACCUGCCCCUUAGACUGGGAUAACUCCGGGAAACCGGAGCUAAUACGGGAUAAUAAAGAGAAUCACCUGAUUCUCUUUUGAAAGACGGUUUCGGCUGUCACUAAGGGAUGGGCCUGCGGCGCAUUAGCUAGUUGGUAAGGUAACGGCUUACCAAGGCGACGAUGCGUAGCCGACCUGAGAGGGUGAUCGGCCACACUGGGACUGAGACACGGCCCAGACUCCUACGGGAGGCAGCAGUAGGGAAUCUUCCGCAAUGGACGAAAGUCUGACGGAGCAACGCCGCGUGAGUGAGGAAGGCCUUCGGGUCGUAAAGCUCUGUUGUGAGGGAAGAACAAGUACCGGCGUAACUACCGGUACCUUGACGGUACCUCACCAGAAAGCCACGGCUAACUACGUGCCAGCAGCCGCGGUAAUACGUAGGUGGCAAGCGU